AGAAUCAACGCUGGCGGCGUGCCUAACACAUGCAAGUCGAACGAGAAAGGGGAGCAAUCCCUGAGUACAGUGGCGACCGGGUGAGUAACACGUGACUAACCUACCUUCGAGUGGGGGAUAACUCCGGGAAACCGGAGCUAAUACCGCAUAACAUCGCAAGAUCAAAGCAGCAAUGCGCUGGAAGAGGGGGUCGCGGCUGAUUAGCUAGUUGGCGGGGUAAUGGCCCACCAAGGCGAAGAUCGGUAUCCGGCCUGAGAGGGCGCACGGACACACUGGAACUGAAACACGGUCCAGACUCCUACGGGAGGCAGCAGUGGGGAAUUUUGCGCAAUGGGGGAAACCCUGACGCAGCAACGCCGCGUGGAGGAUGAAGCCCCUUGGGGCGUAAACUCCUUUCGACCAAGACGAUUAUGACGGUACUGGUGGAAGAAGCACCGGCUAACUCUGCGCCAGCAGCCGC
RNAcentral lists this ribosomal RNA (460 nucleotides) under uncultured bacterium. Its description in RNAcentral is "SSU rRNA". It matches the Rfam family "Bacterial small subunit ribosomal RNA", at positions 26 to 518 of the family's 1533-position model. The record is from RNAcentral.